UUUUAACGGGRAARSCCUUACCAAGGCUUGACAUACACCGGAAACGGCCAGAGAUGGUCGCCCCCUUGUGGUCGGUGUACAGGUGGUGCAUCCAAGUCGUCAGCUCGUGUCGUGAGAUGUUGGGUUAAGUCCCGCAACGAGCGCAACCCUCGUUYUAUGUUGCCAGCGCGUUAUGGCGGGGACUCAUAGGAGACUGCCGGGGUCAACUCGGAGGAAGGUGGGGAUGACGUCAAAUCAUCAUGCCCCUUAUGUCUUGGGCUUCACGCAUGCUACAAUGGCCGGUACAAAGGGCUGCGAUACCGUAAGGUGGAG
RNAcentral lists this ribosomal RNA (312 nucleotides) under Curtobacterium sp. RNAcentral describes it as "bacterial SSU rRNA". It matches the Rfam family "Bacterial small subunit ribosomal RNA", at positions 954 to 1267 of the family's 1533-position model. The record is from RNAcentral. Lineage: Bacteria; Bacillati; Actinomycetota; Actinomycetes; Micrococcales; Microbacteriaceae.